RNAcentral lists this ribosomal RNA (986 nucleotides) under Salmonella enterica subsp. enterica serovar Typhimurium. Its description in RNAcentral is "partial 23S ribosomal RNA". It matches the Rfam family "Bacterial large subunit ribosomal RNA", at positions 760 to 1659 of the family's 2925-position model. Lineage: Bacteria; Pseudomonadati; Pseudomonadota; Gammaproteobacteria; Enterobacterales; Enterobacteriaceae. The record is from RNAcentral.
CACUAACUGGAGGACCGAACCGACUAAUGUUGAAAAAUUAGCGGAUGACCUGUGGCUGGGGGUGAAAGGCCAAUCAAACCGGGAGAUAGCUGGUUCUCCCCGAAAGCUAUUUAGGUAGCGCCUCGUGAAUUCAUCUCCGGGGGUAGAGCACUGUUUCGGCUAGGGGGCCAUCCCGGCUUACCAACCCGAUGCAAACUGCGAAUACCGGAGAAUGUUAUCACGGGAGACACACGGCGGGUGCUAACGUCCGUCGUGAAGAGGGAAACAACCCAGACCGCCAGCUAAGGUCCCAAAGUCAUGGUUAAGUGGGAAACGAUGUGGGAAGGCCCAGACAGCCAGGAUGUUGGCUUAGAAGCAGCCAUCAUUUAAAGAAAGCGUAAUAGCUCACUGGUCGAGUCGGCCUGCGCGGAAGAUGUAACGGGGCUAAACCAUGCACCGAAGCUGCGGCAGCGAACGUAUCACCCAAGACAACUUUACGGAGUUGACGAUUGACGGAGCGAAGCGACGUCAAAGCGUUCAUUAAAGUCGAGUUGGCUUAGGGAUACGUUCGUUGGGUAGGGGAGCGUUCUGUAAGCCUGUGAAGGUGUGUCGUGAGGCAUGCUGGAGGUAUCAGAAGUGCGAAUGCUGACAUAAGUAACGAUAAAGCGGGUGAAAAGCCCGCUCGCCGGAAGACCAAGGGUUCCUGUCCAACGUUAAUCGGGGCAGGGUGAGUCGACCCCUAAGGCGAGGCCGAAAGGCGUAGUCGAUGGGAAACGGGUUAAUAUUCCCGUACUUGGUGUUACUGCGAAGGGGGGACGGAGAAGGCUAUGUUGGCCGGGCGACGGUUGUCCCGGUUUAAGCGUGUAGGUGUGUGUUCCAGGUAAAUCCGGUUCACUUUAACACUGAGGCGUGACGACGAGGCACUACGGUGCUGAAGCAACAAAUGCCCUGCUUCCAGGAAAAGCCUCUAAGCAUCAGGUAACAUCAAAUCGUACCCCAAACCGACA